This 301-nucleotide ribosomal RNA is filed under the name uncultured bacterium. RNAcentral's name for it is "partial 16S ribosomal RNA". It matches the Rfam family "Bacterial small subunit ribosomal RNA", at positions 509 to 809 of the family's 1533-position model. The record is from RNAcentral.
CAGUAGCCGCGGGAAUACGGAGGGAGCUAGCGUUGUUCGGAAUUACUGGGCGUAAAGCGCACGUAGGCGGUUAUUCAAGUCAGAGGUGAAAGCCCGGGGCUCAACCCCGGAACUGCCUUUGAAACUAGAUGACUAGAAUCUUGGAGAGGUCAGUGGAAUUCCGAGUGUAGAGGUGAAAUUCGUAGAUAUUCGGAAGAACACCAGUGGCGAAGGCGACUGACUGGACAAGUAUUGACGCUGAGGUGCGAAAGCGCGGGGAGCAAACAAGAUUAGAUACCCGCGUAGUCCCUGUCUCUUAUAA